RNAcentral lists this long non-coding RNA (203 nucleotides) under Vigna radiata. RNAcentral describes it as "long non-coding RNA (VRAD_LNC007530)". The record is from RNAcentral. Lineage: Eukaryota; Viridiplantae; Streptophyta; Magnoliopsida; Fabales; Fabaceae.
UUUGCCUCUGUGUUUAUUUUUUAUUUUUUCAUUUUUAUGGUAUUUCUUUCUCUGUUUAUUUCUUAUUACUUUAGCUUCUUCAUUGGUGAAUUCGUUGUCCAUAUAUAGGGUUUAACCAUUGACAUAGAAACCCUACUUUUCAUCAUCAAGUGUAUUCCCUUAUCUUAUUGGGUGAGGUUCAUACUCCUUUAAGUUCAUAUUCC